GUCCUAGCCGUAAACGAUGAGCACUGGGUUGGAGGCUCCUCCAUAGGCUUCUGGCCGAAACGAAAGUGUUUAGUGCUCCGCCUGGGGAGUAUGGCCGCAAGGCUGAAACUCAAAGGAAUUGACGGGGGCUCACACAAGCGGUGGAGGAUGUGGCUUAAUUCGAGGCUACGCGAAGAACCUUAUCCUAGUCUUGACAUGCUUGGAUUAACCCCAUGAAAGUGGGGCCACGCCUUCGGGUGGAACAAGCACAGGUGCUGCAUGGCUGUCGU
RNAcentral lists this ribosomal RNA (269 nucleotides) under uncultured bacterium. RNAcentral describes it as "partial 16S ribosomal RNA". It matches the Rfam family "Bacterial small subunit ribosomal RNA", at positions 793 to 1055 of the family's 1533-position model. The record is from RNAcentral.